RNAcentral lists this transfer RNA (75 nucleotides) under Amycolatopsis saalfeldensis. RNAcentral describes it as "tRNA_Gln_TTG". It matches the Rfam family "tRNA". Rfam says of the family: Transfer RNA (tRNA) molecules are approximately 80 nucleotides in length. Their secondary structure includes four short double-helical elements and three loops (D, anti-codon, and T loops). Further hydrogen bonds mediate the characteristic L-shaped molecular structure. tRNAs have two regions of fundamental functional importance: the anti-codon, which is responsible for specific mRNA codon recognition, and the 3' end, to which the tRNAs corresponding amino acid is attached (by aminoacyl-tRNA synthetases). tRNAs cope with the degeneracy of the genetic code in two manners: having more than one tRNA (with a specific anti-codon) for a particular amino acid; and 'wobble' base-pairing, i.e. permitting non-standard base-pairing at the 3rd anti-codon position. The record is from RNAcentral. Lineage: Bacteria; Bacillati; Actinomycetota; Actinomycetes; Pseudonocardiales; Pseudonocardiaceae.
UCCCGGUUGGUGUAAUCGGCAGCACGACGGACUUUGGAUCCGCCAGCCCAGGUUCGAUCCCUGGACCGGGAGCCG